RNAcentral lists this ribosomal RNA (114 nucleotides) under Pteropus alecto (black flying fox). The record is from RNAcentral. Lineage: Eukaryota; Metazoa; Chordata; Mammalia; Chiroptera; Pteropodidae.
GCCCCGGUGAACAAGCCUGAACAAGCCUGAUAUCUGAUCCUGGAAGCUAAGCAGGGUUGGGCCUGGUUAGUACUUGGAUGGGAGACCACGUAGGAAGACCAGGUGCCGGAGGCA